GACGAACGCUGGCGGCGUGCCUAACACAUGCAAGUCGAGCGGUAAGGCCCUUUCGGGGGUACACGAGCGGCGAACGGGUGAGUAACACGUGGGUGACCUGCCCUCAGCUCUGGGAUAAGCCUGGGAAACCGGGUCUAAUACCGGAUAUGACUCCAUGACGCAUGUUGUGGGGUGGAAAGCCUUGUGCGGCUGAGGAUGGGCCCGCGGCCUACCAGCUUGUUGGUGGGGUGAUGGCCACCAAGGCGACGACGGGUAGCCGGCCUGAGAGGGCGACCGGCCACACUGGGACUGAGAUACGGCCCAGACUCCUACGGGAGGCAGCAGUGGGGAAUAUUGCGCAAUGGGCGGAAGCCUGACGCAGCGACGCCGCGUGGGGAUGACGGCC
Molecule: ribosomal RNA, 385 nt
Filed under: uncultured bacterium
Lineage: Bacteria
Description: bacterial SSU rRNA
Rfam family: Bacterial small subunit ribosomal RNA
Source: RNAcentral